AAACCAUGGGGUGGGCACUUCAUAGUCAGCUCCUUAAACUUCUCCCAGCUUUCACUGAAUUUCUCCCCCUCUUCCUGCCUAAAACUAUUGAUCUCUUGACGGAGAUC
Molecule: small nucleolar RNA, 107 nt
Organism: Corylus avellana
Lineage: Eukaryota; Viridiplantae; Streptophyta; Magnoliopsida; Fagales; Betulaceae
Source: RefSeq, a predicted model, not a curated record